Equus caballus (horse) is the source of this 3425-nucleotide long non-coding RNA. Lineage: Eukaryota; Metazoa; Chordata; Mammalia; Perissodactyla; Equidae. The record is from Ensembl.
UAUACUCCUGUAAAUUCGGAUAUUUUACUUCUUGAGUUGCUGACAAACUGAUUUCCAUAGUAGCUGUAUUUUAAAUUCCUCCAAUGUAUUAGGGUUCCAAUUUUUCCACAUUCUUGCCAACACUUGUUAUUGUGUAUAUUUUUGGUUAUUGCCUUGGCUGUUAUCCACUACCACAAGCAGCUGCAAGAUUAAACAACUGUCUUUAAUUGUGAUUACCAUCUCCUGUGGAAAGUCUCUUCACACUGGGUAAACGUUGAGUCAGAUCAAAUAAAGGCAGGCUUCCUAGUGAAAGUGGGGUUUUUCAGAGCCACCAGAUGGGUCAAAUAACCACAUUUCUCUGGUAGUGAGUAAAGAUGGAGCUCCAACCUAGUUUUGCCACCUCCAGUGGCUGUCAGUUGCUGGUUUUAUUGUAGUUGCAGCUGUUGGAUUAGAGGCAACCACAGUCACAGAGAUGGGUGGAUGGAAAUAAGAUAAAACACCACAAAGCUAUUUGUUCUUAUACAGCUUCAGUCAUUUUUUCCUUGAAAAAAUUUCUCCUGAAUUGCUGCCUACCUUUGGUUAUUCGGGAGCACUGACAAAGUUAAUUCUGACAAUUUUUGCCAAUCUUCUUGUUGGUUUUAUGGAGGAGAAAAUUUUCAAGAGUACUUUGUCAUUUCUGCUGACUCUAUUGGGUCUUUUUUUUUUUUUUCGAGGAAGAUUAGCUCUGAGCUAACUGCUGCCAAUCCUCCUCUUUUUACUGAGGAAGACUGGCCCUGAGCUAACAUCUGUGCCCAUCUUCCUCUACUUUAUAUGUGGGACGCCUACCACAGCAUGGCUUUUGCCAAGCGGUGCCAUGUCCACACCCGGGAUCCGAACCAGCGAACCCCGGGCCAGCAAAGCAGAACAUGCGAACUUAACCUCUGUGCCUCCAGGCUCAGCCACUAUUGGGUCUUAACCCUGGUUUGGACUGUGAACUUUGUCUUCUGUCCUCGACACCCCACGAGAAACACAAAGCUGAAGUUUGCCUGAUAAUACCAAUGCUGUUAAGUUCAUUUGACAAUGUGGACCUGGAGUCAAUUGGGAAAGGCCGAAAUUCACUUCUUGCUUCAGAAACUGUUCAGAAAAAGCUCCCAGAUGAUCCAGAUCACAGAACAUUCCCCACCCUUCUUGCUGGUCCAAUGCUGGGAUGAGACUCUAUGUGCUGGAAUAAGCAACAUGUUCAAGAUCAGGGUGUGUGUCACUUGGUCCUGGAAUCCACAGCUGUGGCCGCAGCUUCCUGAGAUUGCAGCUUCUUGAUCACUGUACUCACAGAAGAAACACUACUGACCAUCCUCUGUGCUGUGGUUUUAGAAGUCCCUUCUAUAAGCUCAGUUUUAAGUUAUUUUCUUACUCCUUUUUAAAAGACCAGUUAGGAUGGUUUCUCUCUUGCCUUUUUUUUUUCUUCUUUUGCCAUUUUCUGCAACCUGAAUAAGAUACAUGCCAAAAUCUUAAAAAUGGCUGUCUAGGAUUAAAUCCACAGAAUAACUGCUUCAUGUUGCCUGUUUUCUAUUUUACAUUUGUAUAUUCUUUUAUUUGUUACAAUAUAUGAGUGACACUUUAACAUUUAUUUUAAGUCAUUUUAUAUUUACAUCUUGGAAAAAUUUAGAAAAUAUUAAAACUUUUUACUUGUCAAAAUUUUACUUAUGUUCCAUCAUUUUUCAUAAAUUUAUGUAUUUAUGAAAAUAAUACAACUAUCUGCUUGGGAAAAAAAGCUUUAAAGUUCAACUCAAACUAAUUCAAUCUAUAAAGUUAAAAACUCAAAAUUUUUGUCCCCUGCCCUGUUCAACUGUCUUCCCUUAGUCAACUGUUUCCCACAUUUUUUCUUGCGUUUACCUUUAUAUUUUAAAAAUAACAUAUUGAUGCUGCUAUCUCUUGAUUCAUAGUUCCAGAUAUAACUCAAGGACUUUCUAAUAACGAGAUUAAGUACUUACCUUGCAGAGAGCAUUAUCUUCCCUACACACGAACUUUUCUGAUUUUCAUCCUCCAAAUAAAGUAAUAAUACCUUAAUAUUGUUUUAAAUCAUUAUUCAGGGACUAUAUUUAUAUAAUUUUUAAAUAUUUAUCACUUAUAAACCUAUAAACUGAAACUAUAUUUUUCCCUGUUUAUCCUUUAUUUUUUAAAAAAAUAGAUUAAUCAUUGACUUAUUUUUAUGGUAGUUAUGUUUCAUUUUUGCCAAGCUUUAAUUUUUCAAAAUUGUCCAAUAGUUUUUCAAUAUUUUUUCUCCACCCGAUCCUUAUUUUCGCCCUGGAGUAUUUGGACUCUGUUCACUCUGGGUUCACGUUAUUCUCUCUAGGCGCACUAUUGACCUUCAAUGGCUCUUCACCAUCACCCUGGAAAUUUCAUUCAACUCUGCUUAUUUUGUAGAUUGUGUUUCCUGGAUCUUAUGUCCUCAAUAUUUUGGCCUUGCUCUCACAUCUUUUUGGAAUGCGUCUUCUACAAACUUCCUGUAAAAGGGAGAACAACAUAUGCAUUUUGGAGAUUUUACAUAUCAGAAAAUAUAUUUUCAUACUUGAAUAAGCAUUUCUCUACAUUAAAAUACCAAAUUGAGAAAAGUUUUGUCUAAGAAAGAGGUUUGCUUUGCAUUGUCAUUUGCUAAUUUUUCUAUUAAAAACAGGCUGCAAUGUCACUACUUCAUUUUUUAUAGAUGAUCUAUUAUUUCCUUCCCUUUAUCCCUCUGUUAAUACGUCGGUUCUCCUUAAAAGAUUGCAGUCAAAUCUUUCACUCUGUUUAUAGCGUGAUUUAUUCCUUUUCCUCCUUUCAUUACACCUAUUGUCUAAACUAUCUUGGUCUUUAUGGUGAUGUUUUAACAGAAAGUAAGACUUCUUACUGUAAGCACUUAGAUCUCAGCUUAUUACCCUGUUAUAUCAGUUAAAAUACUCCCAUAAAUAUUGUCUUUCCGAAAUAUAUUAAAAACUCUCCAGUGCCACUGUCUCCUGUCCCUUUCCAUUUACACCAAUGGUUAUAUAUAAUCCUGUCUUGUGUCCUAAGAAAGGAAUGUACUAAAUGCUUAUGUUUAAAAUGCCAAGUUUGACCAAAGUCAUAUGAAGGUAUCAUCACAAAUUAGAAUGUAUUGUCCCAGUCCCUUGUUUUGAUAUUUGUAUCAUCUUUAUUGUGUUCUCAGUUUCUCGCACUUUAUGAAUAGGAAACAUUUGCUUUUUUUCUUGAUGAUAUUUCCAGGCUUGUAAAAAUAUUUGGCAUGUAUAAUCAUUUUUGUUACCAUUGCUGUCAGUGGUAACCUAUUGAAUACUUAACAUGUGCCAAUCGAUUUGCAAAAUGUUUUAAAUUAUGUUUUGUUUUUAAACUAUGUGAAACAUUUACAUAUUUCAGAAUUAAAAUUAUAAAAUAAGAUUUAUUAAAGAGGUUUAGAGUGUAUCCCUGUCCUUGCUCCAUACUUACUUCCUCCAAUU